Molecule: ribosomal RNA, 507 nt
Filed under: uncultured bacterium
Lineage: Bacteria
Description: bacterial SSU rRNA
Rfam family: Bacterial small subunit ribosomal RNA
Source: RNAcentral
CGACUACGAGUUUGAUCCUGGCUCAGAUUGAACGCUGGCGGCAUGCUUUACACAUGCAAGUCGAACGGUAACAGGCCUUCGGGUGCUGACGAGUGGCGAACGGGUGAGUAAUGCAUCGGAACGUGCCCAAUCGUGGGGAUAACGUAGCGAAAGUUACGCUAAUACCGCAUAAGCCCUGAGGGGGAAAGCAGGGGAUCGCAAGACCUUGCGCGAAUGGAGCGGCCGAUGUCAGAUUAGCUAGUUGGUGGGGUAAAGGCCUACCAAGGCGACGAUCUGUAGCGGGUCUGAGAGGAUGAUCCGCCACACUGGGACUGAGACACGGCCCAGACUCCUACGGGAGGCAGCAGUGGGGAAUUUUGGACAAUGGGCGCAAGCCUGAUCCAGCCAUGCCGCGUGCGGGACGAAGGCCUUCGGGUUGUAAACCGCUUUCAGCCGGAAAGAAAUCGCCAAGGCUAAUAUCCUUGGUGGAUGACGGUACCGGAAGAAGAAGCACCGGCUAACUACGUG